Molecule: ribosomal RNA, 300 nt
Filed under: uncultured Oceanobacillus sp.
Lineage: Bacteria; Bacillati; Bacillota; Bacilli; Caryophanales; Bacillaceae
Description: bacterial SSU rRNA
Rfam family: Bacterial small subunit ribosomal RNA
Source: RNAcentral
GCCAGGUAUGUGGCAGCAGCGGCGGGAAUACGGAGGGGGCGGGCGGUGUCCGGAAUGAUGGGGCGUACAUGGCGGGUAGGCGGUUUGUCGCGUCGGGAGGGAAAACUCAGGGCUCAACCCUGAGCGUGCUUCCGAUACGGGCAGACUAGAGGUAUGCAGGGGAGAACGGAAUUCCUGGUGUAGCGGUGGAAUGCGCAGAUAUCAGGAGGAACACCGGUGGCGAAGGCGGUUCUCUGGGCAUUACCUGACGCUGAGGAGCGAAAGCAUGGGGAGCGAACAGGAUUAGAUACCCGAGUAGUC